This 425-nucleotide ribosomal RNA is filed under the name uncultured bacterium. Its description in RNAcentral is "partial 16S ribosomal RNA". It matches the Rfam family "Bacterial small subunit ribosomal RNA", at positions 354 to 796 of the family's 1533-position model. The record is from RNAcentral.
GUGGGGAAUCUUAGACAAUGGGGGAAACCCUGAUCUAGCCAUGCCGCGUGAGCGAUGAAGGCCUUAGGGUUGUAAAGCUCUUUCAGCUGGGAAGAUAAUGACGGUACCAGCAGAAGAAGCCCCGGCUAACUCCGUGCCAGCAGCCGCGGUAAUACGGAGGGGGCUAGCGUUGUUCGGAAUUACUGGGCGUAAAGCGCGCGUAGGCGGACCAGAAAGUUGGAGGUGAAAUCCCAGGGCUCAACCUUGGAACUGCCUUCAAAACUCCUGGUCUGGAGUUCGAGAGGGGUGAGUGGAAUUCCGAGUGUAGAGGUGAAAUUCGUAGAUAUUCGGAGGAACACCAGUGGCGAAGGCGGCUCACUGGCUCGAUACUGACGCUGAGGUGCGAAAGCGUGGGGAGCAAACAGGAUUAGAAACCCCGGUAGUCC